CAAGGUCAUUUUUGGAAACUAAAAGUCAUCUUCAUUUUCAUAGCCACCUCUUCUUCUUCAUUCUCUUGUAUGCAAAUUCUGAUAAAUGUCACUGUUGUUACCCCAUCAGUAAGCUUAGCUCUGCUUCAUCUCCGCCUUGUUCAGCUAAGCUAAGUAUCAUAUCUUAAUUCUCUUUAAUCUAAUCUAUAGUUCAAUGUAUUGAGCUUAACUGGAAGCUAAUACCACCACUUAAACUACCUACUAAAUUUAGGAAAUUAAAGAUUUGAACUUUGUAGUCUCAAAGGUGUUGAUGAUUGUUAAUAAUUCUUAGGAAUUUUGUGUUUGAAUCUGAAAAGUCUACUGUUUGAAUAACCCAACCUUCAAUAUCCUCAGAUCUCACUGGAUGUAGGUGUUGUAUUCAAAAGAAGUCAUUUUUAACAGUAGAUUUAUUCAUCUCCACAGUUAAUCCUCAAAAAUAUUACAUCAUCUAUUCACACCUUUUAUGUACUCUGCUUAUAGGUUAUUGAUGGUGUUCCCCAAUUUUAAUCCACCUAGAUGCAUUCUGAAGUGUAGUAUUAUCAGUUAUUUUUCAAGUUAGCCCCUUCUUACCCUUGUAAUUGAACUUGAUCUUGAUUAUAUCCUCUAUCUCAUUGUGGCCAUUCCAGUCGUGAUCAUUGUUUGUUAUGAUUGCUGACCACUCUUGUGUAUGAUUUCUAUGAUUAAAACUGAUAUUGUGUUCCAUCUUAAUGAGAUAUUUGUUUGAUGUUUGGAG
Molecule: long non-coding RNA, 751 nt
Filed under: Capsicum annuum
Lineage: Eukaryota; Viridiplantae; Streptophyta; Magnoliopsida; Solanales; Solanaceae
Description: long non-coding RNA (CANN_LNC016009)
Source: RNAcentral